This is a long non-coding RNA of Chinchilla lanigera (long-tailed chinchilla), 681 nucleotides long. RefSeq lists it as uncharacterized. NCBI's taxonomy places the organism in Eukaryota, Metazoa, Chordata, Mammalia, Rodentia, Chinchillidae. The record is from RefSeq and is a predicted model, not a curated record. The transcript is spliced from 2 exons.
GGAGCCCAGCUUGGCGGCCUGAGCAGAGCGCGCUGUGUCCACUUCUCACCCGGCUAACUGCAGCUGCCAGCGUCCGCCCUCGACUCACACAGACUCACACAAUCCCCGCAAUCGGAACCACCGCACUGCCCUGGAGCUUCGGGGCCUGGUCAGCUUGCUUCAUGUCUUUGGCUUGUUUCUGUGGCCAAGCGGUGUGGAUGCGGAUGAGUGCAGGCCACUCGUCAGCAGAGCUCACCAACCUUGUCACCGCCUUCGAAAGAUGUGGAACAGAGCUCACCAAUCCUGUCGCUGCCUUCGUAAGAUGUGCAAGUUCUGAAAUUCAAUGCUGUUUUCUCCACCACAAAGGCUACCCCAGGCAAGGAAAGGCUGAUCUACUUUUUCUACAUAAUAUUUUAUUUCCCAUUAUAGCUUUACUGAAGUAUAGAUGAUGUGCCAUAAACUGCUAAUUAGGUCCAGUAGAAUUGUACCUUUUUGAAAUCAUCCCACUGUCAGGAUAAUGAACGCACUAGUCUCCUCCAGAAACCUCCUGGUGCCCUUGUGUGACCCACUUCCUCUCUGCCCACCCCAGGGCCCGGAAGUCCCUGAUCUGUUUUCGUUUCUGUAGAUCAGUUUGCGUUUUCUAGAAUUUAUGAUAAGGUGGACUGUGUAUUUUUGUGUGUGAGGUAAAGGACUUCUACACUC